AAUCAAAGCGCUGUAAGCGCUGAAGGCAGUUAACCAAAAACCAAGUUCUCAAACAUGUAGGGGUAGGCAGAGGAUUUAGGGGGUGCGCCCCCCCCUUUUUGGGAAAAAAAUAGUUGCUUAUAUAGGGAAUCACUGAAGCGUGACUGGAGCGGGUCCCCUCUUAGGAUGGUCAGUGGGCCCCCACUUAUGAGAAUUUCUGGAUCCGCUACUGGGGGUAGGGUGACCCUAGGGACUUCCCCUACAUUUCAUUUUAUUUGUUAUAUUGUCCCAUACAUGAAUAUAUAUGGUUUAGGGGGGGAUCUCAUUGGUUUCUAAGUUCUCAAACAGGAGGGGUAGGGUGACCCCAGGGACUCCCCCUUUAUUUCAUUUAAUUAGUUAUAUUGGCCCAUACAUGAAUAUAUAUUGUUUUGGGGUGGGGAUCUCGACCGUUUCCAAGUUCUCAAACAGGAGGGUUGGGGUGAUCACAGGGACUUCCCCUAUAUUUCAUUUGAUUUGUUAUAUUGUCCCAUACAUGAGUAUAUAUGGUUUAGGGGUGAGGAUCUUGACCAUUUCCAGGUUCUCAAACAGGAGGGUGUACAGUGACCCCAGGGACUCCCCCUAUCUUUCAUUUGAAUUGUUAUAUUGUCCCGUACAUGAAUAUAUAUGGUUAAGGGUUGGGGAUCUCAACGGGUUUCAAAUUCUCAAACAGUAGGGGUGGGGUGACCCAAGGGACUCCCUCUAUAUUUAAUCUGAUUUGUUAUAUUGUCCCAUACAUGAAUAUAUAUGGUUUAAGGUUGGGGAUCUCGAUCAUUUUUAAAUUCUAAAACAGGAGGGUUGGGGUGACCCCCAGCGACUCUUCCUAUAUUUCAUUUGAUUUUUCAUAUUGUCACAAACAUGAAUAUAUAUGGUUAAAGGGUGUGGAUCUUGACCGUUUCCAAGUUCUGAAACAGGAGGCGGGG
Molecule: long non-coding RNA, 938 nt
Filed under: Mytilus galloprovincialis (Mediterranean mussel)
Lineage: Eukaryota; Metazoa; Mollusca; Bivalvia; Mytilida; Mytilidae
Source: RNAcentral